Molecule: ribosomal RNA, 307 nt
Filed under: uncultured eukaryote
Lineage: Eukaryota
Description: partial 18S ribosomal RNA
Rfam family: Eukaryotic small subunit ribosomal RNA
Source: RNAcentral
CCCUUAGACGUUCUGGGCCGCACGCGCGCUACACUGACAAAGGUAACGAGCUACUCUUCACCGAAAGGUGUAGGUAAUCUUUUGAAACUUUGUCGUGCUGGGGAUAGAUCCUUGCAAUUUUUGAUCUUAAACGAGGAAUUCCUAGUAAGCGCAAGUCAUCAACUUGCGUUGAUUACGUCCCUGCCCUUUGUACACACCGCCCGUCGCUACUACCGAUUGAAUGGUUUAGUGAGGCCUUCGGAUCCGCGACUCGUUUGUGGAGAAGUUGGACAAACUCAGUCAUUUAGAGGAAGUAAAAGUCGUAACA